RNAcentral lists this ribosomal RNA (590 nucleotides) under uncultured bacterium. RNAcentral's name for it is "bacterial SSU rRNA". It matches the Rfam family "Bacterial small subunit ribosomal RNA", at positions 338 to 916 of the family's 1533-position model. The record is from RNAcentral.
CCUACGGGAGGCAGCAGUGGGGAAUUUUGGACAAUGGGCGCAAGCCUGAUCCAGCCAUGCCGCGUGUGGGAAGAAGGCCUUCGGGUUGUAAACCGACUUUUAGUCAGGGUAAGAAACGGUCUAGAACUAAUACUUUGGACUAAGUGACGGUACCUGAAGAAUAAGCACCGGCUAACUACGUGCCAGCAGCCGCGGUAAUACGUAGGGUGCAAGCGUUAAUCGGAAUUACUGGGCGUAAAGCGUGCGCAGGCGGCUUUGCAAGACAGAUGUGAAAUCCCCGGGCUCAACCUGGGAACUGCAUUUGUGACUGCAUGGCUAGAGUACGGUAGAGGGGGAUGGAAUUCCGCGUGUAGCAGUGAAAUGCGUAGAUAUGCGGAGGAACACCGAUGGCGAAGGCAAUCCCCUGGACCUGUACUGACGCUCAUGCACGAAAGCGUGGGGAGCAAACAGGAUUAGAUACCCUGGUAGUCCACGCCCUAAACGAUGUCAACUGGUUGUUGGGAGGGUUUCUCUCAGUACGAAGCUAACGCGUGAAGUUGACCGCCUGGGGAGUACGGGCCGCGAGGUUGAAACGUCAAAGGAUUAGACGG